This 321-nucleotide long non-coding RNA is filed under the name Hordeum vulgare. Its description in RNAcentral is "long non-coding RNA (HVUL_LNC007301)". Lineage: Eukaryota; Viridiplantae; Streptophyta; Magnoliopsida; Poales; Poaceae. The record is from RNAcentral.
UCUCAUCCUCUCUCUGUCUUCCUCCCGCAGGAGCUCCGCCAUCACCCUUGGGAUCGGCCGGCUAGUGCCCGAACUACGGUGCCGUAGGUUGGAUCUAGUGUGGGCAGACCGGAUCCCUCCAUCAUGCCGCUUGUUGGAGCCCUUGCCGCCCGCGUUCACCCUCGCCGGUCGGAUCUGGCAGUGCCCAGGCGACCUCCUACUCGUGCGGAGGAUGACAAAGCCCCGAUCCAGUGCUUCGCUGGGCCACCAGGAGUGCCCUGGCCCAGCCGCGUGCAAGCCCCAUAGGUCGCGCCACGCCACACGUCCGCCAAGCUCCAAGGU